Molecule: long non-coding RNA, 213 nt
Filed under: Elaeis guineensis (African oil palm)
Lineage: Eukaryota; Viridiplantae; Streptophyta; Magnoliopsida; Arecales; Arecaceae
Description: long non-coding RNA (EGUI_LNC051912)
Source: RNAcentral
CCUAGCAUCCCUUGAUCUGAAUAGGCCUAGGAAGAGAAAUCAGUAAAGGGUUGCUGAAUAAGGUACUUAUAUGAUAAUAUCUUGAAAUCUCUCUAUCUAUGAUACUACUAUCUGAGUAUUGAAUACCAAAAGUUCGAUUCACGUCUGCAAAUUAUUGUAGAGAUUUUAGGUUAGUAAAAAAUUUGAGAAGAGCGAACGAUUCUUGAAUGUUGG